AGUGAACGCUGGCGGCAGGCCUAACACAUGCAAGUCGAACGGCAGCACAGUAAGAGCUUGCUCUUACGGGUGGCGAGUGGCGGACGGGUGAGGAAUACAUCGGCAUCUACUUUUUCGUGGGGGAUAACGUAGGGAAACUUACGCUAAUACCGCAUACGACUUACGGGUGAAAGCAGGGGAUCUUCGGACCUUGCGCGAUUGAAUGAGCCGAUGUCGGAUUAGCUAGUUGGCGGGGUAAAGGCCCACCAAGGCGACGAUCCGUAGCUGGUCUGAGAGGAUGAUCAGCCACACUGGAACUGAGACACGGUCCAGACUCCUACGGGAGGCAGCAGUGGGGAAUAUUGUACAAUGGGAGCAAGCCUGAUCCAGCCAUGCCGCGUGGGUGAAGAAGGCCUUCGGGUUGUAAAGCCCUUUUGUUUGGAAAGAAAAGCAGCAGGUUAAUACCCCGCUGUCCUGACGGUACCCAAAGAAUAAGCACCGGCUAACUUCGUG
Molecule: ribosomal RNA, 492 nt
Filed under: uncultured bacterium
Lineage: Bacteria
Description: partial 16S ribosomal RNA
Rfam family: Bacterial small subunit ribosomal RNA
Source: RNAcentral